GAUGAACGCUGGCGGCGUGCCUAAUACAUGCAAGUCGAGCGAACAGACGAGGAGCUUGCUCCUCUGACGUUAGCGGCGGACGGGUGAGUAACACGUGGAUAACCUACCUAUAAGACUGGGAUAACUUCGGGAAACCGGAGCUAAUACUGGAUAAUAUAUUGAACCGCAUGGUUCAAUAGUGAAAGACGGUUUUGCUGUCACUUAUAGAUGGAUCCGCGCCGCAUUAGCUAGUUGGUAAGGUAACGGCUUACCAAGGCAACGAUGCGUAGCCGACCUGAGAGGGUGAUCGGCCACACUGGAACUGAGACACGGUCCAGACUCCUACGGGAGGCAGCAGUAGGGAAUCUUCCGCAAUGGGCGAAAGCCUGACGGAGCAACGCCGCGUGAGUGAUGAAGGUCUUCGGAUCGUAAAACUCUGUUAUUAGGGAAGAACAAAUGUGUAAGUAACUAUGCACGUCUGGACGGUACCUAAUCAGAAAGCCACGGCUAACUACGU
This 496-nucleotide ribosomal RNA is filed under the name uncultured bacterium. RNAcentral's name for it is "partial 16S ribosomal RNA". It matches the Rfam family "Bacterial small subunit ribosomal RNA", at positions 28 to 506 of the family's 1533-position model. The record is from RNAcentral.